CAGCAGCCGCGGUAAUACGAAGGGGGCUAGCGUUGCUCGGAAUUACUGGGCGUAAAGGGCGCGUAGGCGGGUGUUUAAGUCAGAGGUUAAAUCCCAGGGCUCAACCCUGGAACUGCCUUUGAUACUGGGCACCUAGAGUUCGGGAGAGGUGUGUGGAACUCCGAGUGUAGAGGUGAAAUUCGUAGAUAUUCGGAGGAACACCAGUGGCGAAGGCGACACACUGGCCCGAUACCGACGCUGAGGCGCGAAAGCGUGGGGAGCAAACAGGAUUAGAUACCCCGGUAGUCCCUGUCUCUUAUAC
RNAcentral lists this ribosomal RNA (301 nucleotides) under uncultured bacterium. RNAcentral describes it as "partial 16S ribosomal RNA". It matches the Rfam family "Bacterial small subunit ribosomal RNA", at positions 509 to 807 of the family's 1533-position model. The record is from RNAcentral.